GAUGAACGCUGGCGGCGUGCUUAACACAUGCAAGUCGAACGAUGAAGCCCAGCUUGCUGGGUGGAUUAGUGGCGAACGGGUGAGUAACACGUGAGUAACCUGCCCUUGACUCUGGGAUAAGCGCUGGAAACGGCGUCUAAUACCGGAUACGAGCUUCCACCGCAUGGUGAGUUGCUGGAAAGAAUUUCGGUCAAGGAUGGACUCGCGGCCUAUCAGGUAGUUGGUGAGGUAACGGCUCACCAAGCCGACGACGGGUAGCCGGCCUGAGAGGGUGACCGGCCACACUGGGACUGAGAAACGGCCCAGACUCCUACGGGAGGCAGCAGUGGGGAAUAUUGCACAAUGGGCGCAAGCCUGAUGCAGCAACGCCGCGUGAGGGACGAAGGCCUUCGGGUCGUAAACCUCUUUUAGCAGGGAAGAAGCGAAAGUGACGGUACCUGCAGAAAAAGCACCGGCUAACUACGUG
RNAcentral lists this ribosomal RNA (466 nucleotides) under uncultured bacterium. RNAcentral describes it as "partial 16S ribosomal RNA". It matches the Rfam family "Bacterial small subunit ribosomal RNA", at positions 28 to 507 of the family's 1533-position model. The record is from RNAcentral.